GACGGAGGAUGCAAGUGUUAUCCGGAAUCACUGGGCGUAAAGCGUCUGUAGGUGGUUCGAAAAGUCCACUGUUAAAAAUUGAGGCUUAACUUCAAAGAUGCCGUGGAAACUUUCAAACUAGAGUAUGGUAGGGGUAGAGGGAAUUUCCAGUGGAGCGGUGAAAUGCGUAGAUAUUGGAAAGACCACCGAUGGCGAAGGCACUCUACUGGGCCACUACUGACACUGAGAGACGAAAGCUAGGGGAGCAAACAGG
Molecule: ribosomal RNA, 253 nt
Filed under: uncultured bacterium
Lineage: Bacteria
Description: partial 16S ribosomal RNA
Rfam family: Bacterial small subunit ribosomal RNA
Source: RNAcentral